GCUAGGCAGUUGGCUAACAAAGUGAGAACAACACAAAUAAUUCAAGCCUGGUUUCAAGGCUGCAAAGCACGGAAGGGAUAUGAAUCUAUGGUGGAAGCUGUGUGCGUUAUUAAGAGUCACUUCAGAACAAAAUGGUAGAGGACUAGUAUUUAUUUACAUUAUGGAAACAAAUAGUUUGACAAGAAAUGCUCUACUGAGUCAGACUAUUGCUUGAUCCCAUUCAGAUCUGUGUUGUGUCAGAAACAGUAAAAAAUGACUGUUUGUGGAGCAUAUGUGAACCUGAGCAGUUACGGAGAUCCUCCCUCAGCAUCAGUAUUCCCUAGGCUAUGAAUGUUAGUUUAUAUCCUUGCUCAUUCUCUUUAUUAUCCUUCUUCUGACCUGCUGAGUGUCAGUUUGCCCUUUCAAAUCUACUGUUGCCUCUACAGCCUCAUCUUGCAGCAAGGUUCUGUUUUCCCACAGUAGGCACUCCCAGGAUUAUCUAUUCUAAAUCAGUUGUUUUUGUGUUGCAGGAUUACAGCUUGGUUUUCAGUAUAUCUAAAUGAUUUUGUAAACCUGCUGUAGGUCUCUCUUUCAUCUGAAGUACCCAGUUCUUCCAAGUUUUACUGUCUAAUUCUGUCACUCUAUCUUCCCUGUUUUAGUCAUUCUUCCCUGACCUUGUUGUAUCCUGUCUGAGAUGUAGAGAUCAGAACUGCGUAUUGUCGUUAUGAUUAUUUUAAAUAGCAGCAAAAUUAUGUCAUCUGAAUUGUUCUUGGUGUUCUUCACCACGAUGCCUUGACAGGUCCUUGGCUUCCAUUGUGCAUGGGACAUAAAAUAAAAAGAUUUAACGGGAGCAAACUUUUUUCUAUUUAUUUUCUACUUAGUGUUUCUAUGUUUUCCAAGAUUACUAUUUGAGUGAUUGCUGUUUAGCUUUUGAAUUUUUUUAAUAGAGAUUGUGUAUGCAUGUUCUUUAGGUAUAAUGUCUUAUGUAAGCUAUAUCUUUCAUUGCCUUGCUUCCUGUAUCCAGAAGCUUCAUGUUCCAUUUAAACAUAAAAAUGUAAGUGUUCUCAACUUCUAGAAAAACCUAAAAUGCAUUUUCUUGUCAGGUUUUUGAAAAUGAAGUUCUGUGCACUUACUGUUCAAAGAAGAUGGAGAGCAACUCUUGCAGCAAUAAUGGUUUGGCUUCAGUUUCUGACAACUAAGGAUGCAGUAGUCAAGAUUCAGUUGUCUUCUAGCCCGUACUGUCUGUAUGCCUUCUAAGAAAGAUAUGUUUUCACUUGCACUCUGUCAAGGCUGUACUAAGCUUGCAUUGCUUUUGAGUGAGUUUUGUCAUCAAUAUGUGGAAGAAAAGAAGCGGGGCUGGUCCAAAGAUUGCUCAAAUCGAAACUGUGUUAUCUUUAAAAUACUCUAUUUCCUUUUGCAUUGUGCAACUAGGUUGAUGUUUCUGAGUAAUUCCAGUUAUUGAAUUGCCUAUUUAUGCCAAAGGAUGAAAUGCAUGAGUGAUCUCUUGGCUUUCUUGCUUACAAAGGAUUAAGUUAUGCCAAUAUUUUGACCCCAUUUAGGUAAGGGAAAAGACAUUUCAAAUUGUGAAAAUGAAUUUUUAUAUAAAGUUGUGUGAUGUCUGAAGUCCAAGCAAACAAACUUUACUUUGAAGUUUCAUUUCUAGUUAAAAAAAAUUCCAUCAUAAGAUAAAAACUAAGACUCAUAUUGACUGCAACAGGAAUGAACCCCACUUCAAUUAUCAGUGAGCUCUUUAAAAUCUCUUCUAGAAGCACAAAGCUGCAUGUUUGAUCCAAACAAUAUAUAGCUGCUUUGAGAAGGAAACUUGAUUGACAAAAAGCUGCUGCUGUGACUUUCCAAAAACAUCUGAGGGCUUGGCAAGAGGGCAGGCUUCAACUUAUGAAGUACAACAAAAUCAGAAGAGCUGUCAUUAAACUGCAAGUGUAUAUACGGGGUUAUUUAGUCAGGAAAAAAAGGUUAGUAUACUUCACUUCAAAACUACGCUUGAUGUAAAGUAUCUCCAGAGCAAUUUAGCAUUAAUUUUGGCUGGCAAGAAAAGAGCUCAGAUCAUUAAACUCUGAUUCCUGUUGACUGCUUUGAGAGUUAUGUGGGUCAGGGGUCAGAUUAUCGUUGCCUACAAUGAAACUGUUCUGGCAGUCACUUUGCUGUGUCUUUGUUCAGAUUGGAGACCUAGGACUGAGGAAAGGUAGCAGCGUGCUGAGUUCUGAGUUUUCAGAAUAGAAACAAAAGAAGAGGCUACUUUAUUUUACAGCAGCUGCAUAUCAUGUUUCUGCAGUUAAAAUUCAGAGGGCUUAUAGGAUGCAUCUCACCUAUAAGCUAGCAGAAAACCACAUCUCAUCAGUUCUUAUAAUACAGGAAAUCUGAAGGAUGCCAAGAGUUGUUAAGUGCAUUCAACUCCUCUAUAAGCUUACAGCUUGUAAGUGCAAAAUGGACGCAGAGAGAAUGCUUGUGAAACAGAAGACAAACAAAUUUCCUCUAUUCCAGUAACUCCUCUAAGAAUAAAGACAAUUUCAAGAAUUAAACCAGACUUGGAUUUGAGAAAACAUAACGUGCAAGAAAUUGUGGAUCCUCUCCAAGCAACCGUGAUGGUGAUGGAAAUACUUGGCAUUGUCUGCUACUGAAAUGUAAAUUAAUGUAUUUGUACAGUAGGUAUGCAGCAGGCAGCUAAAUGAUUUUAAAAUGAAACAAAUAAUUGUCAAGCUGCCCUUGAACAUGUUUCUGUAAUUAUCUUUUUUGUAUUGUAUGCAGCUUUUGAAAUCCUGCCAAAAUCAACUGUACAAUAAAAUCUUAUGUCCUUGUCCA
Molecule: long non-coding RNA, 2799 nt
Organism: Meleagris gallopavo (turkey)
Lineage: Eukaryota; Metazoa; Chordata; Aves; Galliformes; Phasianidae
Source: RefSeq, a predicted model, not a curated record